CGUAACGGAUUCUAACUGCUUGAGAACAUUGCGGCCUGCACUUUCUCCGCAGGCAACUUGCAGGAAAAUAAAUUGGCACAGAAAAGUAUCAGUAGCUCAUUAACAUUGUUCCUCUGGCGCACGAAGUUGCAAACUUUGAGCUACACUUCUUGUCUAGUGUUCUAUAUUCUUUUAGAACUAUUCACCUACCGACUGCAAAAUGCAUUAAAAGGGCUCAAGGACUACUAGUGUUAAAUUAAAGCAUUCUAAGCAAAGUUCC
RNAcentral lists this unclassified non-coding RNA (259 nucleotides) under Hevea brasiliensis (rubber tree). The record is from RNAcentral. Lineage: Eukaryota; Viridiplantae; Streptophyta; Magnoliopsida; Malpighiales; Euphorbiaceae.